AUGAGAUGGCUUGCAACAAGGAUUGUGGAGCACCUCGCUGGCGAUCUCAACCUUGCUCACUUUCCAGGAGCAUUGGAAUGUAUAUCCUCCCUCCUCGACCACAAAGCACUACAUUUACCAUUUAUACCUGGGCAAAGGGAGGAUGGUGAAGGAAUUGAUAAGGACCUGCUUUUGCCAGGAUUGAGAAUUCUAGAGAACCUGGCACAUGACACACAUAACUGCACACUGAUAUACAACUCCAAGGGUCUUCUUUCAAAAAUUGUUGCUCCUGUCAGCUCCAACGAAUUAGUAGAAGAUAUCAAGAGCAGCGCUGCAUGGACCAAGGUAGCAGAUGGGUCAUUGAAACUGGUGAGCCGCCUCAUGGGUUCUUCAGGAAGCACCGGCCAAAACAUGUGCAGACUAAUUGCGAACAAUAGUAAUGCAGUCAAAAACUUGGAGGUUGUUCUGGACAUGGACAUGAACAACAACAGCGGUAUCAUAGAGCUACACAUGCAAGCUCUAGAGGUUCUUACACAACUAGCCUUGCAUGAUCCAACAAAUACUUCUGUGACGACAAGAGAAAAACUUAUUGAGAGGGCUCUACACAUCUUCCUUACUGCAGAUUGGAUGGAAGACUAUUUGAAAGAUGAAAAAAAGAAGAUUUCCAAACCAACUACAAGCCAACAAAAUACUUUGCCAAGAUUGUCAACGGGAACAUGGAUGGAUAACCACAUUAAAAAGGCUAGAGAGAAGAGGGCCAAACAAGCAAGAGAAACGCGUGUGGAAAAGAAGAUGAAAGAAGUUCAGGAAACUGCAAGCCGGCUUAAAGAAAAGGCUGGUGAAGCAUUGGCCAUGUUGUCCAGUGAUUCAGAGGCUAUCAAGAGCUUCACAGGAUGCGACGAUGAUAUCUAUCGCCUUACUGAAUUACUCGACUGCAAUAUCAAGACCAUCCAAUGCAAAAUAAGUACAACAGAUACUGUGGAAAUAGAUAUUAACACGGGCUGUCGUAUUAGCGCAGGAGCCAUCUUGAAGAAUUUAAGCAACUACGUCAAGGCACCAACCUUACGGAAGGUAUUCGAACAAUUGCUUCCAGUAGAACAAGACGAGCCUUUCACUUCCUGGACCCCCAACAAGCAGUGUGGGGAUAGGAGUCUGCAAGCGGAGCUGUUAUCAUUCGUCGCUGCGAUCCGUGCAAACAACAAUCUUAAUCUUGCAGGAAUCUUACUUUCGCAGACGCCGGCGCCGGAUACCCUGGAAGACUUUGUGAUGAGGCUGAAGAAGAUGGUGGAGGACAACAUGUAUGCCACCCCUGCGUGCCUGGCGAUACAAAAGCUUACUUGUGAGCUGGUUAUAGAAUUCAUCAAGGAUGAUCGAAACAUCGAAAUGAUCGACAGACACAAUAUCGUUGCAACAUUACUGGAGGCUUCAGAGGUGAUGGGUUGUCUUGAGAGUAGAAUGCUUUUCGCUGGUGUCGAUCGUGACUGCCACGGGGUUCCUCUGAAGCCUCUUUCUUCUGUUCUCUCUAAAAAUGCCGAAGAUCUUCUGGCACAGAGGAAACAGGCUCUGGGUAUCAAACUAUCAACAUUGUGCCUGCCAGUGCACCAAUACCGUGAUUGCUGCAUCACAAAGUAUCUUUGCAUGUUAAAAACACUUGAACGAGUAUUGAAUUCUUGA
RNAcentral lists this ribosomal RNA (1653 nucleotides) under Triticum aestivum (bread wheat). RNAcentral's name for it is "partial small subunit ribosomal RNA". Lineage: Eukaryota; Viridiplantae; Streptophyta; Magnoliopsida; Poales; Poaceae. The record is from RNAcentral.